This 407-nucleotide ribosomal RNA is filed under the name uncultured microorganism. RNAcentral's name for it is "bacterial SSU rRNA". It matches the Rfam family "Archaeal small subunit ribosomal RNA", at positions 330 to 745 of the family's 1478-position model. The record is from RNAcentral.
GCGCAGCAGGCGAGAAACUUUACAAUGUGCGAAAGCACGAUAAGGGAACUCUGAGUGCCUCCUAAGGAGGCUGUUCAGGUGUCUAAAAGCACCUGAAGGAAGGGCUGGGUAAGACCGGUGCCAGCCGCCGCGGUAACACCGGCAGCCCAAGUGGUAGCCACGUUUAUUGGGUCUAAAGCGUCCGUAGCCGGCUGGGUAAGUUCCUUGGGAAAUUUGGCUGCUUAACAGUCAAGCUUUCAGGGAAUACUGCCCGGCUUGGGACCGGGAGAGGUCAGAGGUACUCCAGGGGUAGGGUGAAAUCCAUUAAUCCUUGGGGGACCACCGGUAGCGAAGGCGUCUGACCAGACCGGGUCCGACGGUGAGGGACGAAGGCUAGGGGCGCGAACCGGAUUAGAUACCCCUGUAGU